Molecule: ribosomal RNA, 245 nt
Filed under: Metarhizium anisopliae
Lineage: Eukaryota; Fungi; Ascomycota; Sordariomycetes; Hypocreales; Clavicipitaceae
Description: partial large subunit ribosomal RNA
Rfam family: Eukaryotic large subunit ribosomal RNA
Source: RNAcentral
UUCGUAUGCGAGUGUUCGGGUGCCAAACCCCUACGCGUAAUGAAAGUGAACGCAGGUGAGAGCCCCUCCAGGGCGCAUCAUCGACCGAUCCUGAUGUUCUCGGAUGGAUUUGAGUAAGAGCAUACGGGGCCGGACCCGAAAGAAGGUGAACUAUGCCUGUAUAGGGUGAAGCCAGAGGAAACUCUGGUGGAGGCUCGCAGCGGUUCUGACGUGCAAAUCGAUCGUCAAAUAUGGGCAUGGGGGCG